RNAcentral lists this ribosomal RNA (790 nucleotides) under Latilactobacillus sakei. RNAcentral describes it as "bacterial SSU rRNA". It matches the Rfam family "Bacterial small subunit ribosomal RNA", at positions 28 to 778 of the family's 1533-position model. Lineage: Bacteria; Bacillati; Bacillota; Bacilli; Lactobacillales; Lactobacillaceae. The record is from RNAcentral.
GACGAACGCUGGCGGCGUGCUAAUACAUGCAAGUCGAACGCACUCUCGUUUAGAUUGAAGGAGCUUGCUCCUGAUUGAUAAACAUUUGAGUGAGUGGCGGACGGGUGAGUAACACGUGGGUAACCUGCCCUAAAGUGGGGGAUAACAUUUGGAAACAGAUGCUAAUACCGCAUAAAACCUAACACCGCAUGGUGUAGGGUUGAAAGAUGGUUUCGGCUAUCACUUUAGGAUGGACCCGCGGUGCAUUAGUUAGUUGGUGAGGUAAAGGCUCACCAAGACCGUGAUGCAUAGCCGACCUGAGAGGGUAAUCGGCCACACUGGGACUGAGACACGGCCCAGACUCCUACGGGAGGCAGCAGUAGGGAAUCUUCCACAAUGGACGAAAGUCUGAUGGAGCAACGCCGCGUGAGUGAAGAAGGUUUUCGGAUCGUAAAACUCUGUUGUUGGAGAAGAAUGUAUCUGAUAGUAACUGAUCAGGUAGUGACGGUAUCCAACCAGAAAGCCACGGCUAACUACGUGCCAGCAGCCGCGGUAAUACGUAGGUGGCAAGCGUUGUCCGGAUUUAUUGGGCGUAAAGCGAGCGCAGGCGGUUUCUUAAGUCUGAUGUGAAAGCCUUCGGCUCAACCGAAGAAGUGCAUCGGAAACUGGGAAACUUGAGUGCAGAAGAGGACAGUGGAACUCCAUGUGUAGCGGUGAAAUGCGUAGAUAUAUGGAAGAACACCAGUGGCGAAGGCGGCUGUCUGGUCUGUAACUGACGCUGAGGCUCGAAAGCAUGGGUAGCAAACAGGAU